UGAGAUCUCCAUCACCUUGAGCCC
This 24-nucleotide non-coding RNA is filed under the name Rattus norvegicus (Norway rat). Lineage: Eukaryota; Metazoa; Chordata; Mammalia; Rodentia; Muridae. The record is from RNAcentral.